GCACGUAGUUAGCCGGGGCUUCUUCUGGAGGUACCGUCACCCUCUGGGCUAUUCACCCGAGUAGCUUCGUCCCUCCUGAAAGCGGUUUACAACCCGAAGGCCUUCUUCCCGCACGCGGCGUCGCUGCGUCAGGGUUUCCCCUAUUGCGCAAGAUUCCCCACUGCUGCCUCCCGUAGGAGUCUGGGCCGUGUCUCAGUCCCAGUGUGGCUGAUCGUCCUCUCAGACCAGCUACCGAUCGGAGCCUUGGUGAGCCAUUACCCCACCAACAAGCUAAUCGGCCGCGAGCUCGUCCUCGGCCAGAGGCCGAAGCUACCUUUUCCAGCCGCUCCGAAAAGCGGAUGGGCCAUCCGGUAUUAAUCCGGGUUUCCCCGGGCUAUCCCGGUGCCGAGGGUUGAUUACUCACGUGUUACUCACCCGUUCGCCGCUGUCCCCAGGCCCGAAGGCCUGGUUCUCGCUCGACUUGCAUGUGUUAGGCGCGCCGCCAGCGUUCGUC
This 493-nucleotide ribosomal RNA is filed under the name uncultured bacterium. Its description in RNAcentral is "partial 16S rRNA". The record is from RNAcentral.